UAUCACGGGAGACACACGGCGGGUGCUAACGUCCGUCGUGAAGAGGGAAACAACCCAGACCGCCAGCUAAGGUCCCAAAGUCAUGGUUAAGUGGGAAACGAUGUGGGAAGGCCCAGACAGCCAGGAUGUUGGCUUAGAAGCAGCCAUCAUUUAAAGAAAGCGUAAUAGCUCACUGGUCGAGUCGGCCUGCGCGGAAGAUGUAACGGGGCUAAACCAUGCACCGAAGCUGCGGCAGCGAACGUAUCACUUAAAGCGAUUCAGCGGGUUACGAUUGACGGAGCGAAGCGACGUCAAAGCGUAUACAAAGUCGAGUCGGUUUAAGGAUACGUUCGUUGGGUAGGGGAGCGUUCUGUAAGCCUGUGAAGGUGGCCUGUGAGGGUUGCUGGAGGUAUCAGAAGUGCGAAUGCUGACAUAAGUAACGAUAAAGCGGGUGAAAAGCCCGCUCGCCGGAAGACCAAGGGUUCCUGUCCAACGUUAAUCGGGGCAGGGUGAGUCGACCCCUAAGGCGAGGCCGAAAGGCGUAGUCGAUGGGAAACGGGUUAAUAUUCCCGUACUUGGUGUUACUGCGAAGGGGGGACGGAGAAGGCUAUGUUGGCCGGGCGACGGUUGUCCCGGUUUAAGCGUGUAGGUGUGUGUUCCAGGUAAAUCCGGUU
Molecule: ribosomal RNA, 653 nt
Filed under: Salmonella enterica subsp. enterica
Lineage: Bacteria; Pseudomonadati; Pseudomonadota; Gammaproteobacteria; Enterobacterales; Enterobacteriaceae
Description: partial 23S ribosomal RNA
Rfam family: Bacterial large subunit ribosomal RNA
Source: RNAcentral